Molecule: long non-coding RNA, 7526 nt
Filed under: Pan troglodytes (chimpanzee)
Lineage: Eukaryota; Metazoa; Chordata; Mammalia; Primates; Hominidae
Description: lincRNA
Source: RNAcentral
GUCCAAGGUAAGCAUGGACCAUUCCUUCAGGUUGAAGUCAGGUAAGUGUGGACCAUUCCUUCAGGAUGGAAUCAGGUAAGUGUGGAACAUUCCUUCAGAAUACAGCCAGGUAAGCAUGGACUGUUUCUUCACGAUGGGCCCAGGUAAGCAUCGACCAUUCUUUCAGGAUGGAGUCAGGUAUGUGUGGACCAUUCCUUCAGGUUGGAGCAAGGUAAGCAUGGACUGUUUCUUCAGGAUGGGCCCAGGUAAGCAUGGAACAUUCCAUCAGGAUGGAGCCAGGAAAGUGUGUACCAUUCCUUCAGAAUACAGCCAGGUAAGCAUGGACUGUUUCUUCAGGAUUGGCCCAGGUAAGCAUGGACAAUUCCUUCAGGAUGGAGUCAGGUAACUCUGGACCAUUCCUUCAGGAUGGAACCAGGUAAGUGUGGACCAUUCCUUCAGAACACAGCCAGGUAAGCAUGGACUGUUUCUGCAGGAUGGGCCCAGUUAAGCAUGGACCAUUCCUUCAGGAUGGAGCCAGGUAACUGUGGACCAUUCGUUCAGAAUACAGCCAGGUAACCAUGGACUGUUUCUUCAGGAUGGGCCCUGUUAAGUAUGGACCAUUCCUUCAGGAUGGAGUCAAGUAAGUGUGGACCAUUCCUUCAGGAUGGAAUCAGGUAAGUGUGGACCAUUCCUUCAGAUUACAGCCAGGUAAGCAUGGACUGUUUCUUCAGAAUCGGCCCAGGUAAGCAUGGACCAUUCCUUUAGGAUGGAGUCAGAUAAGUGUGGACUAUUCCCUCAGGAUGGAGCAAGGUAAGCAUGGACUGUUUCUUCACGAUGGGCCCAGGAUAGCCUAGACCAUUCCUUCAGGAUGGAGCCAGGAAAGUGUGUACCAUUCUUUCAGAAUACAGCCAGGUAAGCAUGGACUGUUUCUUCACGAUGGGCCCAGGAUAGCCUAGACCAUUCCUUCUGGAUGGAGCCAGGAAAGUGUGUACCAUUCUUUCAGAAUACAGCCAGGUAAGCAUGGACUGUUUCUUCAGGAUGGAGUCAGGUAAGUGUGGACCAUUCCUUCAGGAUGGAGCCAGGUAAGUGUGGGCCAUUCCGUCAGAAUACAGACAGGUAACCAUGGACUGUUUCUUCAGGAUGGGCCCUGUUAAGCAUGGACCAUUCCUUCAGGAUGGAGUCAGGUAAGUGUGGACCAUUCCUUCAAGAUGGAGCAAGGUAAGCAUGGACUCUUUCUUCAGGAUGGGCCCAGGUAAGCAUCGACCAUUCCUUCAGGAUGGAGCCAGGUGAGUGUGGACCAUUCCUUCAGAACACAGCCGGGUAAGCAUGGACUGAUUCUUCAGGAUGUGCCCAGGUAAGCAUGGACCAAUCCUUCAGGAUUGAGCCAGGUGAGUGUGGACCAUUCCUUCAGAACACAUCCAGGUAAGCAUGGACUGUUUCUUCAGGAUGGGCCCAGGUAAGCAUGGACCAUUCCUUCAGGAUGGAGCCAGGUAAUCAGGGACCAUUCCUUCAGAAUACAGCCAGGUAAGCCUGGACUCUUUCUUCAGAAUGGGCCCAGUUAAGCAUGGACCAUUACUUCAGGAUGGAGCCAGGUAAGUGUGGAACAUUCCUGCACAAUACACCCAGGUAAGCAUGGACUGUUUCUUCAGGAUGGGCCCAGGUAAGCAUGGACCAUUCCUUCAGGAUGGAGACAGGUAAGUGUGGACCAUUCCUUCAGGUUGGAAUCAGGUAAGUGUGGACCAUUCCUUCAGAAUACAGCCAGGUAAGCAUGGACUGUUUCUUCAGGAUGGGCCGAGGUAAGCAUGGACCAUUCCUUCAGGAUGGAGUCAGGUAAGUAUGGACCAAUCCUUCAGGAUGGAGCAAGGUAAGCAUGGACUGUUUCUUCAGGAUGGACCCAGGUAAGCCUGGACCAUUCCCUCAGGAUGGAGCCAGGUAAGUGUGGACCAUUCCUUCCGAAUACAGCCAGGUAAGCAUGGACUGUUUCUUCAGGAUGGCCCCAGGUAAGCAUGGACCAAGCCUUCAGGAAGGAGUCAGGUAUGUGUGGACCAUUCCUUCAGGACGGAGCAAGGUAAACAUGGACUGUUUCUUCAGAAUCAGCCCACGUAAGCAUGGAUCAUUCCUUCAGGAUGGAGCCAGGUAAGUGUGGACCAUUCCUUCAGAAUACAGCCAGGUAAGCAUGGACUUUUUCUUCAGGAUGGGCCCAGGUAAGCAUGGACCAUUCCUUCAGGACGGAGCAAGGUAAGUGUGGACCAUUCCUACAUAAUACAGCCAGGUAAGCAUGGACUGUUUCUUCAGGAUGGGCCCAGGUAAGCAUGGACCAUUCCUUCAAGAUGGAGCCAGGUAAUCAGGGACCAUUCCUUCAGAAUACAGCCAGGUAAGCAUGGACUGUUUCUUCAGGAUGGGCCCACGUAAGCAUGGACCAUUCUGUCAGGAUGGAGCCACGUAAGUGUGGACCAUUCCUUCAGAAUACAGUCAGGUAAGGCUGGACUCUUUCCUCAGGAUGGGCCCAGGUGAGCAUGGACCAUUCCUUCAGGAUGGAGUCUGGUAAGUGUGGACCAUUCCUUCAGGUUGGAGCCAGGUAAGCAUGGACUGUUUUUUCACGAUUGGCCCAGGUUAGCAUGGACCAUUCCUUCAGGAUGGAGCCAGAUAAUCAGGGACCAUUCCUUCGGAAUACAGCCAGGUAAGCAUGGACUGUUUUUUCACGAUGGGCCCAGGUAAGCAUGGACCAUUCCUUCAGGAUGAAGCCAGAUAAUCAGGGACCAUUCCUUCAGAAUACAGCCAGGUAAGCCUGGGAUCUAAGCAUGCAUGGACCAUUCCUUCAGAAUACAGCCAGGUAAUCCUGGGGUAUUUCUUCAGGAUGGGCCCACGUAAGCAUGGACCAUUCCUUCAGGAUGGAGCCAGGUAAGUGUGGACCAUUCCUUCAGAAUACAGCCAUGUAAGCAUGGACUGUUUCUUCAGGAUGGGCCCAGGUAAGCAUGGACCAUUCUUUCAGGAUGCAGUCAGGUAUGUGUGGGCCAUUCCUUCAGGAUGGAGCAAGGUAAGCAUGGACUGGUUCUUCAGGAUGGGCCCAGGUAAGCAUGGACCAUUCCUUCAGGAUGGAGCGAGGAAAGUGUGUUCCAUUCCUUCAGAAUACAGCCAGGUAUGCAUGGACUGUUUCUUCAGUAUGGGCCCAGGUAAGCAUGGACCAUUCCUUCAGGAUGGAGGCAGGUGAGUGUGGACCAUUCCUUCAGAAUACAGCCUGGUACGCAUCAGCCAUUCCUUCAUAAUGCAGCCAGGUAAGCAUGGACCAUUCCUUCAGGAUGGAGCCUGCCAAGUGUGGACCAUUCCUUCAGGAUGCAGCCAGGUAAGCAUCAGCCAUUCCUUCAUAAUGCGGCCAGGUAAGCAUGGACCAUUCCUUCAGGAUGCCGCCAGGUAAGCCUGAACCAUUCCUUCAGAACGCAUCCAGGGAAGCAUGGACCAGUUUUUAAGUAUACAGUCAGUUAAUUCUGAUACAUACCCUCAGGAUACAGCCAGGUAAGCAUGAACCAUUCCUUCAGGAUGCCACCAGGUAAGCAUGAACCAUUCCAUCAGGAUGGAGCCAGAUAAGCAUGAACCGUUCCAUCAGGAUGCAGCAAGGUAAACAUGGACUAAUCUGUCAGGAUGCAGUCAGGUAAGCAUGAACCAUUUCUUAAUAGUGGAGUCAGGUAAGCACAUACCAUUCCUUUAGAAUGCAGCCAGUUAAGCAUGGAUCAUUCCUUUAGGAUGUAGCCAGGUAAGCAUGGACCAUUCUUUUAGCAUGGAACCAGGUAAGCAUGGACCAUUCUUUAGCAUGGAACCAGGUAAGCAUGGACCAUUCCUUCAGGAUGAAGCUAGGUAAUAAUGGACCAUUCAUUCAGGAUGCAUCCUGGUAAGUAUGAAUUAUUCCUUCAGGAUGCAACCAGGUAAGUAUGGCCAUUCCUUCAGGAAGGAGCCAGGUAAGCAGGAAACAUUCUUUCAGGAUGGAACAAGGUAAGCAUGCACUAUUCCUUCAGAAAGCAGUGAGGUUAGCAUGGAUCAUUCCUUCAGGAUACAACCAGGUACGUGUGGGCAUUCCUUCAGGAUGUAGCCAGGUAAGCAGGGACCAUUUUUUUCAGGAUGCAGGCAGGAAAGUAUGAACCAUUCCUCGGGAUGCAGCCAGGUAAGUCUGGACACUUCCUUCAGGAUGGAGCCAGGUAAGCAUGAACCAUUUUAUCAGAAUGUGGCCAGGUAAGCAUGAACUUUUCCUUUAGGGUGGAGCCUGGUAAGCAUGGACCACUCCUUCAGGAUUCAUCCAGGUAAGCCUGGACCAUUCCUUUAGGAUGGUGUGAGGUAAGCAUGGACGGUUCCUUCAGGAUGCAGGCAGGUAAGCGUGGACCAUUCCUCCUGGAUACAACCAGGCAAGUAUGAACCAUUCCUUCAAGAUGGAGGCUGGUAGGCAUGGACCACUACUUCAGGAUGCAGGCAGGUAAGUGUGGACCAUUCAUUCAGUAUGGAGCCAGGUAAGUGUGGACCAUUUCUUCAGGAUGGUGCCAGGUAACCAGGGACCAUUCUUUCAGGAUACAGCCAGGAAAGGAUGGACCAUUUUUUAAGGAUACAGCCACAUAAAUACGAUACAUACUUUCAGGAUAAAGCCAGGUAAGCAUGAACCAUUCCUUCAGAAUGCAGCCAUGUAGGCAGAGACCAACCCUUCAGGUUGGAGCCAGGUAAGCAUGAACCAUUCCUCCAUGAUGAAGCCAGUUAAGCAUAGGCAAUUCCUUUAGGAUGCAGCCAGGUAAGCAUGGGCCAUUCUUUCAGAAUGCAGUCAGGUAAGCAUGAACCAUUCCUUCAGGAUCCUGCCAGGUAAGCGUGGACCAUUAUUUCAGGAUGCAGUCAGGUAAGCAUGAACCAUUCCUUCAUGAUCCUGCCACGUAAGCGUGGACCAUUAUUUCGGGAUGCAGUCAGGUAAGCAUGAACCAUUACUUCAGGAUGGAGCCAGGUAGGCAUGGACCAUUCCUUCAUGAUGCAGCCAGGUAAGCAUGAACCAUUACUUCACCGUGGAGUGAGGUAAACAUGAACCAAUCCUUCAUAAUGAAGCCUGGUAAGCAUGGAUCACUCAUUCAGGAUGCAGCCAGGUAAGUACAAAACAUUCCUUCUGGAUGGAGCCAGGUAAGCAUGGACCAUUCUGUCAGGAUGCAGCCAUGUAAGCAUGAACCAUUUCUUCAGGAUGGAGUCAGAUUAAGCAUGUACCAUUUUUUCAGAAUGCAGCCAGGUAACUGUGGACGAUUCCCUCAGGAUGGAGCCAAGUAAGCAUGGACCAUUCUCUCAGCAUGGAGCCAGGUAAGCAUGGACCGUUCCUUAAGAAUGGAGCCAGGUAAGCAUGAACCAUUUCAUCAGGAUGCAGCCAGGUAAGCAUGAACCAUUCUGUCAGGAUAUAGCCAGGUAAGGGUGGACCAUUCUGUCAGGAUACAGCCAGGUAAGCAUGGACCAUUCUUUCAGAUGGUGUCAGGUAAGCAUGAACCAUUCUGUCAGGAUGCAGCCAGGUAAACACGGGCCGUUCCAUCAGGAUGCAGCCCUGUAAGUGUGAACCAUUUCUUAAGAAUGGAGCCAGGUAAGCAGGGACCAUUUUGUCAGGAUGCAGUCAGAAACUAUGAACCAUCCCCUCAGGAUGGAGCCAGGUAAGCAUGGACCAUUCCUUCAGGAUGCAGCCAGGUAAGUAAGAACCAUUCUUUCAGUACAGAAGCAAGCAAGCAUGGACCAUUCCUUCAGGAUGCAGCCAGGUAAACAUAGACCAUUCCUUCAGGAUAGUGCCAGGUAGGUGUGGAUCUUUCCUUCAGGAUGGAGCCAGGUAAGCAUGGACCAUUCCUUCAGGAUGCAGCCAGGUAAGCAUGGACCAUUCCUUCAGGAUAGUGCCAGGUAGGUGUGGAUCUUCCUUCAGGACGGAGCCAGGUAAGCAUGGACCAUUCCUUCAGGAUGCAGCCAGGUAAGCAUGGACCAUUCCUUCAGGAUGCAGCAGGUAGGUGUGGAUCUUUCCUUCAGGACGGAGCCAGGUAAGCAUGGACCAUUCCUUCAGGAUGCAGCCAGGUAAGCAUGGACCAUUCCUUCAGGAUAGUGCCAGGUAGGUGUGGACAUUUCCUUCAGGAUGGAGCCAGGUAAGUGUGGACCAUUCCAUCAGGAUGCAACUUGGUAAGCAUAAGCCAUUUCUUAAGGAUGGAGUCAGAUAAGCAUGUAGCAUUCCUUCUGAAUGCAGCCAGGUAAGUGUGGGCCAUUCCUUCAGGAUGCAGCCAGGUAAGCAUGGACCAUUCCUUCUGGAUGGAGGUAGGUACGUAUGCACCUUUUUUUCAGGAUGGAGUCCGGUAAGCAUGGACCAUUCCUUCAGGAUGGAGCCAGGUAAGCAUGUACUACUUCCUCAGGAUGGAGUCAGAUAAGCAUGGCCCUCUCCUGGAUGCAGCCAGGUAAGCGUGGACCGUUCCUUCAAGAUGGAGCCAUCAAACAUGCAGAUCACCCCACAGCACCCUUGCUCCAGUUGACUGGGUUUGGUAACAUGGUGGCAAAAUCAAAAACUUGUAAACUAGUAGAAAAACGUUUUUUAGCUCAUGAGUCCUCUUCGGGCCAAGCUCAGAAGCUGGUGCCAUUGGUCAGCCUCCCUUCGUGGUUGGAGUUCUUCUCCCACAUCAGCUUCUGCCAGGGCGUGUGCCUGUGCAGCCCGAGUCCAGUGUUCCUGUGAGCUGAACUUGGCAGGGAAGGCUGCUCUGAGGCGGACACCACAGCAACAUCGGUGCCUGGGGAACUUCAGAUCCAAGGGCACCUGAAGACCUAGUUUCCACACGGCUCCCUUCUCCUGUAACCCACCACGAUGUGGGCGGCCUCGAAGAAGGCCCAUGAGCAACAUACCGAGUGCUCCAGGGAAGCGAGAGCACACACCGGGCAGGAUUCACAAUCAAGACAAGGUGAUGAUGGACAGGCAUGCACACAUGAGCACGUGGAGCACACAGUGUGUUUGGCUGCAGGAGAAGAAUCCAGUUUUCAGCAGGUGAAUGCAGAGAAGCCCUGCUGCUCAGGACAAAGAAUGUUUCCAGAAUGAACCAUGUUUGCAGCUCUCCAUUGCCCAGGAUGAGCGGCGUCCCCAGGUGCCUGGCCCUUUUAUCACCCAGGCUGAUGGUACAUCCAGAGGCAGCCAUGGCUCAGCCCCCAAGCAAGGCCAGCAAUGGCCAGGAAGAAGCUUAUUCAAUGGGAUUCUCUGCAGAGUUUUUCUGACUUUCAGCUUGCAGGGAUGUGGGCAUAGAAAACAAGAGGCUGACUUCUCAAUCAAUCGUCACUUAAGGAUGCAGAGCCAGUGGAAGCCCUUUCUUUCAUGACUUUUAGCAUUUUUUCUUCAUUUUCAGAAAAUCCAUACCAUCUCCAUAUAUGCAUGCGCGCGUGAGUGUCCGUCCGCCCCUUAACUGUGGGGUUAAGAAUCAUGUGACUGCUCAUGCUGGAAAAACAAGACAAUUACCAUCAUAAAAGCCCACAUCAUUUACAGAUCUUGGAACUUGAACUUCCUUUAAAAGAUAAAUAUAGUAGUUUACAUUUUG